CCUACGGGAGGCUGCAGUGGGGAAUAUUGCGCAAUGGGCGAAAGCCUGACGCAGCGACGCCGCGUGAGGGAUGAAGGUCUUCGGAUCGUAAACCUCUGUCAGCAGGGAAGAACGGUCACUGUGCUAAUCAGCAGUGAAUUGACGGUACCUGCAAAGGAAGCACCGGCUAACUCCGUGCCAGCAGCCGCGGUAAUACGGAGGGUGCGAGCGUUAAUCGGAAUUACUGGGCGUAAAGCGCUCGUAGGCGGUAUGUCAAGUCAAGGGUGAAAUCCCCGCGCUCAACGUGGGAACUGCCUUUGAAACUGGCAGACUGGAGUGUGUGAGAGGAUAGUGGAAGUCCAGGUGUAGGGGUGAAAUCCGUAGAUAUCUGGAGGAACAUCAGUGGCGAAGGCGACUAUCUGGCACAUAACUGACGCUGAGGAGCGAAAGCGUGGGUAGCAAACAGGAUUAGAGACCCUUGUAGUC
Molecule: ribosomal RNA, 465 nt
Filed under: uncultured bacterium
Lineage: Bacteria
Description: partial 16S ribosomal RNA
Rfam family: Bacterial small subunit ribosomal RNA
Source: RNAcentral